Non-coding RNA from Populus trichocarpa (black cottonwood), 91 nucleotides. The record is from Rfam. Lineage: Eukaryota; Viridiplantae; Streptophyta; Magnoliopsida; Malpighiales; Salicaceae.
AUGGAGAUGAUGAUUAUUUCCCCAAAUGAUCGAAGCUGAAUAAACUGAGCGAUUUUUCUCUUUUGAGAACCAAGCCAGGAUUCUGAUCCAU